UUACACGGUCCGUAGGUGAACCUGCGGAAGGAUCAUUAAAGAGUAAGGGUGCUCAGCGCCCGACCUCCAACCCUCUGUUGUUAAAACUACCUUGUUGCUUUGGCGGGACCGCUCGGUCUCGAGCCGCUGGGGAUUCGUCCCAGGCGAGCGCCCGCCAGAGUUAAACCAAACUCUUGUUAUAUAAACCGGUCGUCUGAGUUAAAAUUUUGAAUAAAUCAAAACUUUCAACAACGGAUCUCUUGGUUCUCGCAUCGAUGAAGAACGCAGCGAAAUGCGAUAAGUAAUGUGAAUUGCAGAAUUCAGUGAAUCAUCGAAUCUUUGAACGCACAUUGCGCCCCUUGGUAUUCCGAGGGGCAUGCCUGUUCGAGCGUCAUUACACCACUCAAGCUAUGCUUGGUAUUGGGCGUCCGUCCCUUCGGGGGCGCGCCUUAAAGACCUCGGCGAGGCCUCACCGGCUUUAGGCGUAGUAGAAUUUAUUCGAACGUCUGUCAAUGGAGAGGACUUCUGCCGACUGAAACCUUUUUUAUUUUUCUAGGUUGACCUCGGAUCAGGUAGGGAUACCCGCUGAACUUAAGCAUAUCAUAG
Molecule: ribosomal RNA, 585 nt
Filed under: fungal endophyte
Lineage: Eukaryota; Fungi
Description: eukaryotic LSU rRNA
Rfam family: 5.8S ribosomal RNA (bases 220-373)
Source: RNAcentral